RNAcentral lists this ribosomal RNA (433 nucleotides) under uncultured bacterium. RNAcentral describes it as "partial 16S ribosomal RNA". It matches the Rfam family "Bacterial small subunit ribosomal RNA", at positions 29 to 507 of the family's 1533-position model. The record is from RNAcentral.
AACGAACGCUGGCGGCAUGCCUAACACAUGCAAGUCGAACGAGACCUUCGGGUCUAGUGGCGCACGGGUGCGUAACGCGUGGGAACCUGCCCUUAGGUUCGGAAUAACUCCCCGAAAGGGGUGCUAAUACCGGAUAAUGUCUUCGGACCAAAGAUUUAUCGCCUUUGGGUGGGCCCGCGUUGGAUUAGCUAGUUGGUAGGGUAAAAGCCUACCAAGGCGACGAUCCAUAGCUGGUCUGAGAGGAUGAUCAGCCACACUGGGACUGAGACACGGCCCAGACUCCUACGGGAGGCAGCAGUGGGGAAUAUUGGACAAUGGGCGAAAGCCUGAUCCAGCUAUGCCGCGUGAGUGAUGAAGGCCUUAGGGUUGUAAAGCUCUUUUACCCGGGAUGAUAAUGACAGUACCGGGAGAAUAAGCGCCGGCUAACUCCGUG